Molecule: ribosomal RNA, 1325 nt
Filed under: metagenome
Description: bacterial SSU rRNA
Rfam family: Bacterial small subunit ribosomal RNA
Source: RNAcentral
GGGGGCAACCCUGGCGGCGAGCGGCGAACGGGUGAGUAACACAUCGGAACGUACCCAAUUGUGGGGGAUAACACAUCGAAAGAUAUGCUAAUACCGCAUAAGUCCUGAGGGAGAAAGCGGGGGAUCGCAAGACCUCGCGCGAAUGGAGCGGCCGAUGUUCGAUUAGCUAGUUGGUGGGGUAAAGGCCUACCAAGGCGACGAUCGAUAGCUGGUCUGAGAGGACGACCAGCCACACUGGAACUGAGACACGGUCCAGACUCCUACGGGAGGCAGCAGUGGGGAAUUUUGGACAAUGGGGGCAACCCUGAUCCAGCCAUUCCGCGUGAGUGAAGAAGGCCUUCGGGUUGUAAAGCUCUUUCGGCAGGAACGAAAAAGGUGCGGCUAAUACCCGCACUCCAUGACGGUACCUGAAGAAGAAGCACCGGCUAACUACGUGCCAGCAGCCGCGGUAAUACGUAGGGUGCGAGCGUUAAUCGGAAUUACUGGGCGUAAAGCGUGCGCAGGCGGUUUUGUAAGACAGCUGUGAAAUCCCCGGGCUCAACCUGGGAACUGCGGUUAUGACUGCAAGACUUGAGUGUGGCAGAGGGGGGUGGAAUUCCACGUGUAGCAGUGAAAUGCGUAGAGAUGUGGAGGAACACCGAUGGCGAAGGCAGCCCCCUGGGUCAACACUGACGCUCAUGCACGAAAGCGUGGGGAGCAAACAGGAUUAGAUACCCUGGUAGUCCACGCCCUAAACGAUGCCAACUAGGUGUUGGGAAAGGAGACUUUCUUAGUGCCGUAGCUAACGCGUGAAGUUGGCCGCCUGGGGAGUACGGUCGCAAGAUUAAAACUCAAAGGAAUUGACGGGGACCCGCACAAGCGGUGGAUGAUGUGGAUUAAUUCGAUGCAACGCGAAAAACCUUACCUACCCUUGACAUGUCAGGAAUCCCGGAGAGAUUUGGGAGUGCUCGAAAGAGAACCUGAACACAGGUGCUGCAUGGCUGUCGUCAGCUCGUGUCGUGAGAUGUUGGGUUAAGUCCCGCAACGAGCGCAACCCUUGUCAUUAAUUGCCAUCAUUUAGUUGGGCACUUUAAUGAGACUGCCGGUGACAAACCGGAGGAAGGUGGGGAUGACGUCAAGUCCUCAUGGCCCUUAUGGGUAGGGCUUCACACGUCAUACAAUGGUCGGUACAGAGGGUUGCCAACCCGCGAGGGGGAGCCAAUCCCAGAAAGCCGAUCGUAGUCCGGAUUGGAGUCUGCAACUCGACUCCAUGAAGUCGGAAUCGCUAGUAAUCGUGGAUCAGCAUGUCACGGUGAAUACGUUCCCGGGUCUUGUACACACCGCCC